GAUGAGGUGGCUGUGUGGUUAAACUGAUGGACUGCUAAGCCAUUGUGCUCUGCACGCAUGGGUUCAAAUCCUAUCCUCACUG
Molecule: transfer RNA, 82 nt
Filed under: Pelodiscus sinensis (Chinese soft-shelled turtle)
Lineage: Eukaryota; Metazoa; Chordata; Testudines; Trionychidae
Rfam family: tRNA
About the family: Transfer RNA (tRNA) molecules are approximately 80 nucleotides in length.
Source: Rfam by way of RNAcentral